Molecule: ribosomal RNA, 254 nt
Filed under: uncultured bacterium
Lineage: Bacteria
Description: partial 16S ribosomal RNA
Rfam family: Bacterial small subunit ribosomal RNA
Source: RNAcentral
UACGUAGGGUGCGAGCGUUGUCCGGAAUUAUUGGGCGUAAAGAGCUCGUAGGCGGUGUGUUGCGUCGGUCGUGAAAACUUGGGGCUUAACCCUGAGCUUGCGGUCGAUACGGGCAUCACUGGAGUUCGGCAGGGGAGACUGGAAUUCCUGGUGUAGCGGUGAAAUGCGCAGAUAUCAGGAGGAACACCGGUGGCGAAGGCGGGUCUCUGGGCCGAUACUGACGCUGAGGAGCGAAAGCGUGGGGAGCGAACAGG